Molecule: ribosomal RNA, 681 nt
Filed under: Enterococcus gallinarum
Lineage: Bacteria; Bacillati; Bacillota; Bacilli; Lactobacillales; Enterococcaceae
Description: bacterial SSU rRNA
Rfam family: Bacterial small subunit ribosomal RNA
Source: RNAcentral
GCUUUUUCUUUCACCGGAGCUUGCUCCACCGAAAGAAAAAGAGUGGCGAACGGGUGAGUAACACGUGGGUAACCUGCCCAUCAGAAGGGGAUAACACUUGGAAACAGGUGCUAAUACCGUAUAACACUAUUUUCCGCAUGGAAGAAAGUUGAAAGGCGCUUUUGCGUCACUGAUGGAUGGACCCGCGGUGCAUUAGCUAGUUGGUGAGGUAACGGCUCACCAAGGCAACGAUGCAUAGCCGACCUGAGAGGGUGAUCGGCCACACUGGGACUGAGACACGGCCCAGACUCCUACGGGAGGCAGCAGUAGGGAAUYUUCGGCAAUGGACGAAAGUCUGACCGAGCAACGCCGCGUGAGUGAAGAAGGUUUUCGGAUCGUAAAACUCUGUUGUUAGAGAAGAACAAGGAUGAGAGUARAACGUUCAUCCCUUGACGGUAUCUAACCAGAAAGCCACGGCUAACUACGUGCCAGCAGCCGCGGUAAUACGUAGGUGGCAAGCGUUGUCCGGAUUUAUUGGGCGUAAAGCGAGCGCAGGCGGUUUCUUAAGUCUGAUGUGAAAGCCCCCGGCUCAACCGGGGAGGGUCAUUGGAAACUGGGAGACUUGAGUGCAGAAGAGGAGAGUGGAAUUCCAUGUGUAGCGGUGAAAUGCGUAGAUAUAUGGAGGAACACCAGUGGCGAAGG